Molecule: ribosomal RNA, 443 nt
Filed under: uncultured bacterium
Lineage: Bacteria
Description: bacterial SSU rRNA
Rfam family: Bacterial small subunit ribosomal RNA
Source: RNAcentral
AACGCGAAGAACCUUACCGGGGCUUGACAUCGGAGGAACAUCAUAGAAAUAUGGUUUCGGAGCAAUCCGACUUCCAGACAGGUGCUGCAUGGCUGUCGUCAGCUCGUGCCGUGAGGUGUUGGGUUAAGUCCCGCAACGAGCGCAACCCUCAUCCCUAGUUGCCACCGGGUAAUGCCGAGCACUCUAGUGAAACCGCCCCGGAUAACGGGGAGGAAGGUGGGGAUGACGUCAAGUCCUCAUGGCCUUUAUGUCCAGGGCUACACACGUGCUACAAUGGUCGGUACAAACCGUCGCAAAGCCGCAAGGUGGAGCUAAUCGGAAAAAGCCGGCCUCAGUUCGGAUUGGAGUCUGCAACUCGACUCCAUGAAGCUGGAAUCGCUAGUAAUCGCAGAUCAGAACGCUGCGGUGAAUACGUUCCCGGGCCUUGUACACACCGAGACGUA